UGGAAGUAUUCCUCAUGAGGGUCCAGCUGUGCCUUUUCCGGGUUCCCUGAGCCGCUGUCUCAUCCAGGACAGGAGACGUCAAUGAGGCGACAGAAGCCAGAGGAAGCAGGGCUCCAGCUCCCCCUCACAGCUCAUUCUCUUCCCUUCCCCAGGAAUGCCACGGCCUGAGGAACCUUUCCUCUCUCCAUGCGAUCUUCUGGGCUCUGGAGGGCCCCUCCAUUCAACGUUUAAAAGAGACGUGGAGACAGGUGUCCAGGAAGAACUGUCAAAUACUGAAGAAGAUCAUCCAAACAUGCCACCGGGAGAGCAGGAAGCUUCUCAAGGAGGAAGUGACAUCUGUGAGGGCCACCCUGGAGAUGGACCCCCAGG
Diceros bicornis minor is the source of this 369-nucleotide long non-coding RNA. RefSeq lists it as uncharacterized. NCBI's taxonomy places the organism in Eukaryota, Metazoa, Chordata, Mammalia, Perissodactyla, Rhinocerotidae. The transcript is spliced from 3 exons. The record is from RefSeq and is a predicted model, not a curated record.